CAUGCAAGUCGAACGGUAACAGGGUGCUUGCACCGCUGACGAGUGGCGAACGGGUGAGUAAUGCGUCGGAAUGUACCGUGUAAUGGGGGAUAGCUCGGCGAAAGCCGGAUUAAUACCGCAUACGCCCUGAGGGGGAAAGUGGGGGACCGUAAGGCCUCACGUUAUACGAGCAGCCGACGUCUGAUUAGCUAGUUGGUGAGGUAAGAGCUCACCAAGGCGACGAUCAGUAGCGGGUCUGAGAGGAUGAUCCGCCACACUGGGACUGAGACACGGCCCAGACUCCUACGGGAGGCAGCAGUGGGGAAUUUUGGACAAUGGGCGCAAGCCUGAUCCAGCCAUGCCGCGUGUCUGAAGAAGGCCUUCGGGUUGUAAAGGACUUUUGUUCGGGAGGAAAUCCCGCUGGUUAAUACCUGGCGGGGAUGACAGUACCGGAAGAAUAAGCACCGGCUAACUACGUGCCAGCAGCCGCGGUAAUACGUAGGGUGCAAGCGUUAAUCGGAAUUACUGGGCGUAAAGCGUGCGCAGGCGGUUGUGCAAGUCUGAUGUGAAAGCCCCGGGCUUAACCUGGGAACGGCAUUGGAGACUGCACGACUAGAGUGCGUCAGAGGGGGGUAGAAUUCCACGUGUAGCAGUGAAAUGCGUAGAGAUGUGGAGGAAUACAGAUGGCGAAGGCAGCCCCCUGGGAUGACACUGACGCUCAUGCACGAAAGCGUGGGGAUGCAAACAGGAUUAGAUACCCUGGUAGUCCACGCCCUAAACGAUGUCAACUAGCUGUUGGGGGUUUGAAUCCUUGGUAGCGUAGCUAACGCGUGAAGUUGACCGCCUGGGGAGUACGGCCGAAAGGUUAAAACUCAAAGGAAUUGACGGGGACCCGCACAAGCGGUGGAUGAUGUGGAUUAAUUCGAUGCAACGCGAAAAACCUUACCUGCUCUUGACAUGUACGGAACUUGCUAGAGAUAGCUUGGUGCCCGAAAGGGAGCCGUAACACAGGUGCUGCAUGGCUGUCGUCAGCUCGUGUCGUGAGAUGUUGGGUUAAGUCCCGCAACGAGCGCAACCCUUGUCAUUAGUUGCCAUCAUUAAGUUGGGCACUCUAAUGAGACUGCCGGUGACAAACCGGAGGAAGGUGGGGAUGACGUCAAGUCCUCAUGGCCCUUAUGAGCAGGGCUUCACACGUCAUACAAUGGUCGGUACAGAGGGUUGCCAAGCCGCGAGGUGGAGCUAAUCUCAGAAAACCGAUCGUAGUCCGGAUCGCACUCUGCAACUCGAGUGCGUGAAGUCGGAAUCGCUAGUAAUCGCAGAUCAGCAUGCUGCGGUGAAUACGUUCCCGGGUCUUGUACACACCGCCCGUCACACCAUGGGAGUGAGUUUCACCAGAAGUGGGUAGGCUAACCGUAAGGAGGCCGCUUACCACGGUGGGAUUCAUG
This 1424-nucleotide ribosomal RNA is filed under the name Chromobacterium sp. PRI4. Its description in RNAcentral is "16S ribosomal RNA". It matches the Rfam family "Bacterial small subunit ribosomal RNA". Lineage: Bacteria; Pseudomonadati; Pseudomonadota; Betaproteobacteria; Neisseriales; Chromobacteriaceae. The record is from RNAcentral.